Patella vulgata (common limpet) is the source of this 441-nucleotide long non-coding RNA. RefSeq lists it as uncharacterized. NCBI's taxonomy places the organism in Eukaryota, Metazoa, Mollusca, Gastropoda, Patellidae. The transcript is spliced from 3 exons. The record is from RefSeq and is a predicted model, not a curated record.
CGUUUGAUCCAACGUUGGCACAAGGAGUAAGGCGCUGGCCCACUACUAGGGUGUUUGAUCCCGGUGUUGGUUGAUAAAAUUCCUUGGGAUUUUUCACUAUGGUGGGGACACCCUCAUAGCGUAUGUCCGUCUUCAAAAGCCCAGUUGGCACUGACAGAUCGGAUUUUGAUGUUUUUGUCUAAAUCAAAGAUAUGGUGGCAGUUAGUGCCUAUUCUAAAUUCUCGACUUAUCGGGUUGUGAAGGCGACAAGUCGACAAAUCCCCCACAGGAUUAGUAAAGAUUUUCGCGUCGCUGAGCUGAGGUUAGUCCUAUUACAGCAUCACCACCAGUACUAGUCAAGUGCCUAACCUACAAUUUCCCGGAGGGAUGAAGUCGCUCGACAGCCGCUGGGCUAUUAAAACAUUUUUAAUGUCGAAUCUUAUUAAAAAUCUUCGACUUCGA